CCUACGGGAGGCUGCAGUGGGGGAUAUUGCACAAUGGGGGAAACCCUGAUGCAGCGACGCCGCGUGGGGGAAGACGGUCCUCUGGAGUGUAAACCACGGUCGCAAGGGACGAAGAUGACGGUACCUGGGGAGGAAGCACCGGCUAACUACGUGCCAGCAGCCGCGGUAAUACGUAGGGAGCGAGCGGGGUCCGGAAUUACGGGGGGUAAAGGGUGCGGAGGCGGGUCUGCAAGUUGGGUGUCAAAUCUCCCGGCUCAACCGGUAGCCGCACUCAAAACUGCAGUUCUUGAGUGAAGUAGAGGCAGGCGGAAUUCCUAGUGUAGCGGUGAAAUGCGUAGAUAUUAGGAGGAACACCAGUGGCGAAGGCGGCCUGCUGGGCUUUUACUGACGCUGAGGCUCGAAAGUGUGGGGAGCAAACAGGAUUAGAUACCCUGGUAGUC
RNAcentral lists this ribosomal RNA (440 nucleotides) under uncultured bacterium. RNAcentral describes it as "partial 16S ribosomal RNA". It matches the Rfam family "Bacterial small subunit ribosomal RNA", at positions 338 to 795 of the family's 1533-position model. The record is from RNAcentral.